UUUUCAGCUGUAAAAUCAAAUUAGUCAGUUUCAGCUAAGCUAUUUUGUACAUAUCUGUAAAAAUAAUUCCAGCAACAAAGCUCACUUGUUAAUUUUUCGAUAAUUGCAUUUUUUAUUUCAACUAAAUCUAUUUCACGGAGAUGACGAACAUUUGGUUUGUCUUCCGUCUGACUUUUGUCGUCCGUGACUCCGUGGUCCCGUGGAUGCUAAGGGCUGUCACUAGGUGGCCAAAUAAUUCAAUGUGUUUAGGGAUUGAACUAUUCAGCCCUAGUGUGUAGAGGGAUGAAUGGGGGCGUUAUUUAAGUUUUGACUUUUGAGACGACAUUCUAAUUCCUCUUUCUUUUAAACUGUGACGCUGUCCGAGAAUAGUGACUCUAGUCAUUGCUGAGUGCAUUUUUCUGAAAUUCUUCGUCGAAAAAGCAUUAUGGAGUUUGAACUGUCUGAACAUGUGUUGCGUGCACGUUAUCGCUGUCUUGUCAUGAAAAUGCGUCCUAGAGAAGGUUCUUCCAUAUUGAAUGACAAAUAAGGUGAAAAGAGGAAAUCUGGAAAGGAUUCCUUGGUCAGUUUGGUGUUUGAGCUGUCGAUGGUGUUGUCUGGUGUGAAUCUUGCAGUCAUUUUCCAUCUGAGAGCUUCCCUGUAAUGGAACUUGUAUGAAUUUGCAGUUGGACAUCAUACUUAAGUCUUUUGGUGGUGUUCAUGUUUUCAUGGACCGUUAAAUGAUCGAGCUGUUUUGUUGGGGCUGUUUGGGGUGCAGUGGUUUUCCAGUUGCGAGAUGCGUAGCAGUGGAGCUUUGCAUAUUUCUUGUUUAAUGGCUUCAGAGUUUGUUCACCAGCGGUCAACAUCCUAGUGUUGGCAACAUAGCAAACUUAUGCCGCCGACGUCAUUUCUAUUCCGGGUCCUGUCAGGUACGGUGUUCGUGAAGACGUGAACAGUGCCGUCAACUUCAACAUUCUUCUUCACAGAUAUCUCCAAGUAGGAUUAAUGGCUUGGUGAAGUUGAGCUUUUUCAAGGCUGUCCAAUUUCCACUUCGAUAUGUUGCAGCUAGCUGGUUAAUGGUGUGGUAAAUUGUUGCAUGAAGGCCAUGCACUGUUGUGAGCUUCUGGAUGCAGUCUGGUGCUUCUGUUGGGAAUUUUGGUGCUGUCUGCAGAGUGUGGUGCUGGCUGGAAAUUUGAAGAGCUCACUGCCUUAACAAUUGAGUAUAUCCAAUCAGUUUGAUGUCGACUUUAAUUAGUGUCUCCAUUUGGUGUGCAUUUCAUAUUUGGGUGGUUACUAGUUGCUGGUUGCAGAAGCUGUUGAAAAGUCUAUUGAGCUGCAGGUUUUGGAAGCCAUCUUCAUUGCUGGUAUCAUAUCCUGAAGUGUAAAAGAAAUGAAGUCAUCUUGAAAUGGUCUUGGUGAUGAUGGGAUCAUCAAUCUUUUGUGUGCAGUUUUUGCUAUCAAGAAUUGGAGAAGUAAAACUUGUAGCAAAGCUGCCAGAAAAAGAAAUGGUGUCAACGUAAAUGUGCACGGGUUUUGCAGUCUUGACUCCUGUUCAAGCUGUUGCUUUCCUGAAUAAGUAGCUGGACCAGAAGUUAUGAUGCCGAUGUGAUCCUGAAAUAGCUGUUGGUGGUGUAAUCAAGUAACUGUGGCAGUGCAAUUCGGGUUGAUUAAAAAUAUUAUAUGCAUAUAGUAUGUAACUGUAGUAACCCGUUAUCCAUUGUGAAAUGUUGUAAUCUGAUGUUUGUUUAAACAGCAGUUGUGCUUCCUGAUAUUAUCCUUACCCACAUUUAUCAAAAUUUGCCAUAUUUUUAUGUGUUGGAAAUUUACACUUGAUAUUUUUUCACAAUUAUGUCAAAUGUUAUAAUAAAUAAAA
This 1849-nucleotide long non-coding RNA is filed under the name Daphnia pulex (common water flea). Its description in RNAcentral is "uncharacterized LOC124210059, transcript variant X1". Lineage: Eukaryota; Metazoa; Arthropoda; Branchiopoda; Diplostraca; Daphniidae. The record is from RNAcentral.